RNAcentral lists this long non-coding RNA (2803 nucleotides) under Canis lupus familiaris (dog). RNAcentral describes it as "lncRNA (ENSCAFG00845001111.1)". The record is from RNAcentral. Lineage: Eukaryota; Metazoa; Chordata; Mammalia; Carnivora; Canidae.
UUUUUUUUUUUUUUCCAUGCCCAGUGUAGAGCCCAGGGCAGGGCUUGAACUCAUGACCCUGAGAUCAAGACCUGAGCUGAGAUCAAGAGUCAGACACUUAAGUGACUGAGCCGCCCACAUGCCCUGUUGCAUUUUCUCUCUUGGGAUCUUUGCACAUGCUUGUUCCUUCUUCAUGGAAUGCUCGUCCACUUUUCCCCCACAUCCAUUGGUUGACUCUUUAUUGUCCUUCAGGUCUUACCUUAGAUACGACUUUUUCAAGAAAAUAUUUACUGAUACCUCCCACCAACAUGAGAUCGAUAUUCCUCCUGUGAACGUCCACAGCAUCCUCUAUCUCCCCUAUCUCAGUAAUCUUUUUAAAAAUGUGCAUGGCAGAAAGUACAAGAAUGCAUGAUGGAAAAUAAAGUUUUCUGUCUGUUUCAGACUCCAGACACUGAAUUCUUCUUCAUAGAGGCUACCACUAUGAAGGUAGUGGCUUCAUAGAGGCUACCCACAUUUUCUUGGGUAUCCUUCUAGAGAUUCUCAGCCUGUGUAGGGCAUGCAUAUAGGUUCUCUCUCUCUCUUUCUCUUCCUUUCUUCUUAAAAAUUUUAUUUAUUUAUUUAUUUAUUUAUUUAUUUAUUUAUUUAUUUAUUUACAAGCAAUACCAUACUAUACAUAUAGUCUGAAUCUGGGUGUUUUGCCCUCUACCUACUAUAAACUUAGAAGUUUAUUCCAUAUAUAGAACUGCAUCAGCCUUUUAAAAAAAUUAAAAUACAAAAAAUUUGCGCUAGCGUUUAUAUCCAAUAAACACCAGUGGUAAAUGCAUGGUUCUAUUAGUUUUGGCAAGUGUAUACAGUCAUGUGAAAUGCUACUACAGUCAUGUUAUAGGACAUUUCCAUUACCCCAGAAAGUUCCCGCAUGCCCCAGGCAAUCACUGUCACUAUAGCUUAAGUUUUUAUUUCUAGAAUUUCAUUUCAGUGGAAUCACCACGUAUAGAUUGUUUUGUGUCUGGUUUCUUGUGAUAAGCAUGUUUCUGAGAUUCACCCAUGUUAUUAUGUGUAUUAUGUUCCUUCCACUUUAUUGCUAAGUAAUAUUUCAUUGUAUGGAUGUGCCACAAUGUGUUUAUCCACUCACCUAUUGGUGGACAUUUUAAUUGUUUCCAGUUUGGGGCAAUUAAAGCUACUAUGAACGUUUGUGUACAUGUUUUAUUUUUCUUGGAUAAAUAUGGAGGAAUGGCAUGCCAGGGUGGUAUGGUGGUAGUAUUUAAAUCUUUUAAGAAACUACCAAGCUGUACCAUUUACUAUUCCAGCAGUUUAUGAGAAUUACAAUUAUUGCACAUCCUCCCCAAUCUUUUCUGUGAUCAAUCUUCCUAAUUUUGGCCAUUGUGAUAUAUAUACAGUGUAUUCUCACUGUGGUUUUUCAUUUGCAUUUCCCUGAUAGAAAAUGAUGUUAGCCAUCUUUCCAUGUGCUUCUUUACCAUUGGCAUAUCUUUUUUGGUAAAGUGUCUGCUCAAACCUUUUGCCCAUUUUUAAAUGGAGUUGUUUGUCUUUAUAUUACUUAGAUAUAACAAUUUUUUAUAUUCUAAAUAUAGUCCCUUUGUCAGGUAGGUUUUAUAGUUUUUCUCCCCAAGCUGUGGUUUGUCUGUUUAUUUUCAUAACAUUGUCAUUUGAAGAGCAGAAGUGUUUAAUUUCAAAGUCCAAAUUAUUAUCUUUUAUUUUGCCUUUUGUAUUUUUGAGUCCUGUUUAAGAAAUCUUUGCCAGGGUCAGUUGGGUGGCUCAGUGGUUGAGCAUCUGCCUUUGGCUCAGGUUGUGAUCCCAGGUUUCUGGGAUCGAGUCCCACAUCAGACUCCCUGUGAGGAGCCUGCUUCUCCCUCUGUCUGUCGCUCUGCCUCUCUCUGUGUGUCUCUCAUGAAUAAAUAAAUAAAUAAUCUUUUAAAAAAUCUUUCUCGGGGAUCCCUGGGUGGCUCAGCGGUUUAGCGCCCGACUUUGGCCCAGGGUGCGAUCCUGGAGUCCCGGAAUCCAGUACCACGUCGGGCUCCCGGCAUGGAGCCUGCUUCUCCCUCUGCCUGUGUUUCUGCCUCUCUCUCUCUAUAUGUCUAUCAUGAAUAAAUAAAUAAAUAAAUCUUUAAAAAAAAAUCUUUCUCAAACCCAAGGUCACUAAGAAUCUCCCCUAUGCUUAAGUUUUUUAGUUUUAGCUCUUAUACUUAGGUCUAUGACCCAUUUGAGUCACUUUCUCUAUAUGUAAUGGGAGGUGAGAGUCAAGGUUUGUUUUUUUAUAUAUGACUAUCCAGUUGUUCCAGCACCAUUUGUUGAAAAGGUUGUUCUAUCCCCCCAAGAAUUCCCUUGAAUUGCCUUGGGACCUUUGUCAAAAAUCUACUGAUCAUAUGUGUGUGGAUGUAUUUCUGGAUACUCCAUUGUGUUUUACUGAUCUUUAUAUCUAUUUUCAUGCCAGUAUCACAUUGUCUUGAUUUUUAUAGCUUCAUAAGAAAUCUCUGAGAAGUCAAGUAGUAUAAAUUUCCUAAUAUUUUUUUCUUUCUUUUUUUUAUUUUCUUUUUCAAAUUUUGGCUUUGGCUCUCCUGGGUGCAUUGCAUUUUCCACAUGCAUCUUAGAAUUAGCUUAUCAAUUUCUGCUAAAAAGUCUCCUUGAAGUUUGACUAGGAUUUCAUGGAAUUAAUAGAUCAAUUUAAAGAGGAAUUACAUUUUAACAAUAUUAAGUCUUCUGAUCUCUGAGCACAAUCUUUUUUUAAAUUUUAAUCCAGUAUAGUUAACAUACAGUGUUAUAUUAAUUUCAGGUUUACAAUAUAGUAAUUCAAAAAAAAAAAAAAAAA